This 254-nucleotide ribosomal RNA is filed under the name uncultured bacterium. RNAcentral describes it as "partial 16S ribosomal RNA". It matches the Rfam family "Bacterial small subunit ribosomal RNA", at positions 524 to 776 of the family's 1533-position model. The record is from RNAcentral.
UACAGAGGGUGCGAGCGUUGUCCGGAAUCACUGGGCGUAAAGCGUGCGUAGGUGGAUUGUUAAGUGCGAUGCGAAAUCCUGUGGCUCAACCAUAUGGACUGUAUCGCAUACUGGCUAUCUAGAGGACAUGAGAGGCAAGUGGAAUUACUGGUGUAGCAGUGAAAUGCGUAGAGAUCAGUAGGAACACCAAUGGCGAAGGCAGCUUGCUGGCAUGUAUCUGACGCUAAGGCACGAAAGCGUGGGGAGCGAACAGG